RNAcentral lists this transfer RNA (69 nucleotides) under Ictidomys tridecemlineatus (thirteen-lined ground squirrel). RNAcentral's name for it is "Spermophilus tridecemlineatus (thirteen-lined ground squirrel) tRNA". It matches the Rfam family "tRNA". Rfam says of the family: Transfer RNA (tRNA) molecules are approximately 80 nucleotides in length. Lineage: Eukaryota; Metazoa; Chordata; Mammalia; Rodentia; Sciuridae. The record is from Rfam by way of RNAcentral.
GGGGUUGUGGCUCAGAGGUAGAGCGCUUGCCUAGCGUGCAAGAGGCACUAGAUUCGAUCCUCAGCACCA